UACGUAAGUGGCGAGCGUUAUCCGGAAUUACUGGGCGUAAAGCGUGCGUAGGCGGUUUAGUGUGUGGGAAUUGAAAGCCCGGGGCUCAACCCCGGGAGGCGGGUGGAUACUGCUGAGCUCGAGUCCGGAAGAGGAGUGUGGAAUUCCUGGUGUAGCGGUGAAAUGCGCAGAUAUCAGGAGGAACACCAAUGGCGAAGGCAGCACUCUGGGACGGUACUGACGCUGAGACGCGAAAGCGUGGGGAGCAAACAGG
Molecule: ribosomal RNA, 253 nt
Filed under: uncultured bacterium
Lineage: Bacteria
Description: partial 16S ribosomal RNA
Rfam family: Bacterial small subunit ribosomal RNA
Source: RNAcentral